Molecule: long non-coding RNA, 496 nt
Filed under: Pongo abelii (Sumatran orangutan)
Lineage: Eukaryota; Metazoa; Chordata; Mammalia; Primates; Hominidae
Description: lincRNA
Source: RNAcentral
GGCCCGGAGUAGCGGGAAGCGACUGAGGAGCGGGGACUGGGCAGCAAUUGAAUGGAUGCGGGUGCCCCUGGCACCCGGGAAGACGCCCAGGGGCCGUCGCUGGGGAGUUGGACAUGGGCUGGGAUGUGUUUGGAUUCCAAUCUGGGCCUGACACCAGUUCUGUGACCUCGGGAAGUUCCCCAACCCUCCGGGCCUGUUUCCUCCCUCUGAAGUGGCGACAGUAAUAGAACCGACCUCGUAGGCUCAUCGGGAGGUCCUGAUGGGAGAACCCAUGCAACUUGCCACCACAGAGCCAGGCCCGCGGCGGUUGGCGCCUGGUGGGUAUUAAAGACGAGUCGGGAAAGAAGAGCAGGCUCAAUCAAACCUUCAAUGACUGUGGCCCCGAAAUACAUCUUGAUUGAAACCUCAUGAGAGACUCUGAGCCAGAAAACCCAGCAACUUAGAACCCAGAUAUCUGACCAUCAGCCACUGUGUGAAAUAAUAAAUGUUUGUUGUU